AUGGAGGUGCGGCGCUCGAGGCGCUUGCGCUUGGCCUGGAGGCGCUUGAGGCUCUGCAUCUCGCGCCGGCGCCACCGCUCCUCCUCGGUCUCGGUGGGGAGCGAGCUGGUGCGCAUCAGCGGCGCCGGCGGGGGCGUCGCGGCGGCGAUGUCGUCGCUGGUGCCCGGGAGCGAGCACAUGGCGGCGAGGGAGGAGGAGCGCACCAGCCGCGGCUUCUUGGCGUCCCGGCCGGAGUUGGCGCCGAAGCAGCCGCCCAGGGACAGGCCCAGGCUAAGCUCGACCACCUCGUCCGGCUCGCCGGCGCCGCCCCCCGCCUUGUCCGACGACGCGCCCUUCUCCCCGCCGAACCUGCCCAAGAAGUCCCUCGACGCCAUGCCCGGCACAGAGAACGAGAGAGAGAGCAAGCAAUUCCCCGCCGCGAAGCGGACGCCAAUCCUUCCCUUCCCCAAGCUCCAAGAAGGCCAAAUUCUCAGGAACACCUCGCCAUUGCCGCGAAUCCGUCCCGCGCCGGGCAAUUCUCGGUCUCCAAACCCAGAGGGAAGAACAUCACAGCGCCUACGGACGAACAAUCGACGAGCGCCGGGGAAGCAGAGCCAGCACAAUCGGCGGCAAUCAGAUCCCUCCGACGCGCGUGGGAUCCUCGAGCGGGAGAGGGGAGAGGGGGGGAGGUGGAUGGGAAUGGAGAGGAGAGGAGAGGAGAAGAGAAGGAGGCCUGCGCUGCGUGCGUGUCGCUCUAAUCUCCUUCGUUGUUAG
This 753-nucleotide ribosomal RNA is filed under the name Triticum aestivum (bread wheat). Its description in RNAcentral is "partial small subunit ribosomal RNA". Lineage: Eukaryota; Viridiplantae; Streptophyta; Magnoliopsida; Poales; Poaceae. The record is from RNAcentral.